RNAcentral lists this transfer RNA (71 nucleotides) under Paenibacillus sp. FSL R7-0333. RNAcentral's name for it is "tRNA-Gly". It matches the Rfam family "tRNA". Rfam says of the family: Transfer RNA (tRNA) molecules are approximately 80 nucleotides in length. Their secondary structure includes four short double-helical elements and three loops (D, anti-codon, and T loops). Further hydrogen bonds mediate the characteristic L-shaped molecular structure. tRNAs have two regions of fundamental functional importance: the anti-codon, which is responsible for specific mRNA codon recognition, and the 3' end, to which the tRNAs corresponding amino acid is attached (by aminoacyl-tRNA synthetases). tRNAs cope with the degeneracy of the genetic code in two manners: having more than one tRNA (with a specific anti-codon) for a particular amino acid; and 'wobble' base-pairing, i.e. permitting non-standard base-pairing at the 3rd anti-codon position. The record is from RNAcentral. Lineage: Bacteria; Bacillati; Bacillota; Bacilli; Caryophanales; Paenibacillaceae.
GCGGGCAUGGUCUAAAGGUUGGGCCGCAGCCUUCCAAGCUGCUGAUGCGAGUUCGAGUCUCGCUGUCCGCU